RNAcentral lists this ribosomal RNA (547 nucleotides) under uncultured bacterium. RNAcentral describes it as "bacterial SSU rRNA". It matches the Rfam family "Bacterial small subunit ribosomal RNA", at positions 355 to 896 of the family's 1533-position model. The record is from RNAcentral.
UGGGGAAUAUUGCGCAAUGGGGGGAACCCUGACGCAGCCAUGCCGCGUGAAUGAAGAAGGCCUUCGGGUUGUAAAGUUCUUUCGGUAUUGAGGAAGGUUGAUGUGUUAAUAGCACAUCAAAUUGACGUUAAAUACAGAAGAAGCACCGGCUAACUCCGUGCCAGCAGCCGCGGUAAUACGGAGGGUGCGAGCGUUAAUCGGAAUAACUGGGCGUAAAGGGCACGCAGGCGGUUAUUUAAGUGAGGUGUGAAAGCCCCGGGCUUAACCUGGGAAUUGCAUUUCAGACUGGGUAACUAGAGUACUUUAGGGAGGGGUAGAAUUCCACGUGUAGCGGUGAAAUGCGUAGAGAUGCGGAGGAAUACCGAAGGCGAAGGCAGCCCCUUGGGAAUGUACUGACGCUCAUGUGCGAAAGCGUGGGGAGCAAACAGGAUUAGAUACCCUGGUAGUCCACGCUGUAAACGCUGUCGAUUUGGGGGUUGGGGUUUAACUCUGGCGCCCGUAGCUAACGUGAUAAAUCGACCGCCUGGGGAGUACGGCCGCAAGGUUA